Molecule: long non-coding RNA, 2399 nt
Organism: Columba livia (rock pigeon)
Lineage: Eukaryota; Metazoa; Chordata; Aves; Columbiformes; Columbidae
Exons: 2
Source: RefSeq, a predicted model, not a curated record
UGGGGGCGAUGCGGAGGACACGCCUGAGGUCUCGGCAGGGAGGCGGCGGCCAGAGUUAACUUAUCCUCUCUGCGAUAGCGACUGUGUGCCCUCGUCACGCCUGUGGAGCCGCGGGAACGAGUUCCCCGGGCAGCCCAUCUCGCAGAAGCUCUCUGUCGGUCACAGCCUUGCUGGAGCCGCCGCCGGAGCCCCGCGGCGUGGGGUGUGUCUUACGCUGGUCGAGAGCGCCCGGUCCGGCCGUGCCGUGUGGUUCGUGCUGCAGGCCCGGCGGGGGAGCCAGGGGCUCGAGUGGGGAAUGUGCCCCCAGCCUGAUGAUUACUUGCUGCCAGGUUGAUGUAACGCGGCUUGGCCUGACUUCUCACACUCAGCUGUUGCUCGGGAGACUCGCCCAAGUGAGGAAGGAACACAGCGCCUGCUGUGUGAAUGGAAUAAGCGAAGAGAGUUUCUUCUGCCGCCCGGCCCAGUUUGUGUCACAGGGUCUGGCCCGCGUCUGCAGGGAAACCUGGAGGCCUAGAGCUCCCCUCGUUCUCUUUUUGUCUCUCUCAUCCCUUCUCAGGGUGUUUUGCUGCUGUGGCAUCCUGAAACUGUAGAACGUAGGAAAAGGAAGCUACUUACUUUAAGUAUUUACAGCUUAGAGACAAAGGUCUAAGGGAGCAGCAGAGGCAUGACUACAGGACACAUCAACUAAGUGCUUAUGUGGAUUGGGGCCAAAUGGAAAAUUUGGCCUGAAGCUGUCUCUGACUUCUUCCCUCAGCAGAACUGAUGGAAAGAACUGCAAAGGAAAAAAAAAUUCUGAAGGAGAUAAAGAAGGGUUUAUGUGAUUUGUGUAACUUAGGGUUUCUUAAGGAACGAGUAACCUCUUCCCCUCUUUUAUGACCUUAGGGACCAUUUUUAUGUGGAAAAGAAAAUCAACCAAAAAACACAGAAAUGUUUUUCUACUUAAAAUUGUGUACCUUUAAUUAUACUUGAAGAAAUGGUGCCAUUAGUAUAUAAUAUAAUAUGAACCUGGUUAUACAGUUACUGAUAUGACGAAUUAAAAAUGUAGUGUCCCCAGAUAUUUGUCUGUGAAACAAUUCCCCCAAAUAUGCAGCAUGAUACUGGAGAAUUUUCAUUUAUCUAAAACUAAAGUAAUUUGAACUAUGGUUUAUGAUUUGCAAUCUUUACAUGUUUUGUAAAACAUGAGAGUUAAACAAGGCAGUUUGUUCUCCAUUGCAUUGUAAAUCCUCAACUUCCUACUUUAUGUUUUUGCAUAAGUUAUAGUAUUUCUGUUAACUUUAUAAGUACUGAUAAGACACUGGAUUAGAUAUAUAUUUCUCACAGGAUUUUUUUCCCUUUAAUAGUAGGUUUCACCCUUUGCAAUAGAAGUUAUGUAUAUUUUCUUUGCAGUUUUGUGACUUGCCCAAAAAUGGAAGCUCCAGCAGUGCCUAAAGUAACCUGGUUGAUGAGACUUCAGGCAGCCGUUAGUGAUAGAUUGCUCAGACAGAUCAAAUGAUAUACGACUGCAUUUUUUUGUUGUAGCUGCUAUGACCCUAGCCCUUCAAAGGCUCUUGUUGUUCAGUGUGGUGUCUUACUAUUGGACUGAAAGAGGAUUCAGUAUUCAAAAUGCCUGAACCUAAUGGAAACAUUAAUUUGGGGGAUUGUGAGGGUGGUGGUGGGGGAGCAUAACUGAUCAAAAUGGAAUGUAUUCCAGAGUGAACAGGCCGUCUUUGUCUCUUCCACAAAUUCUCUGGGGAGCACAGUGCCACAAAGUUGUGUUUCUGAAGGAGUGAGGAGACUGGAAAAGCAGUUUGGGUAGUAAAGCAGAUAGUGGGGCCCUCGUUAGAGCUUGUGUGUUAGCAGCCAGUAGUUUCUGAGAAAGAUUACAAGCACUUAGAGAAAGCAAUAAAGUUUGGUAUUUGGUUCAAACAAUUUGCACUUCAAGCAGCAGUCUUUACAUUUGUGGUUGUUGUUGUUGUUAUAUUCUGUUAUGGCAUCGUGAAUAGUAUAUAAUGGCAAAGAUUGUUUCUUCAAGAGGAUGUAUUUAUUUUUACUUUCUCUGUUUCUUGGUCAAUCAAUACCUCUCAUUUCCUAGCAGUCACUUGCUCUCUCACUCUUCUCCCCACUCCAGCCUUCCUUUUCUUCCUUUCAUUUAUUUUGCUACCAUCUAUUUUCCUUUGCUCCUCCUUGUUUUCCCUACUUGCAACUUCCUUUCUGUCUCUUUCUUUCUAUUUUAAUGCUGGAGAGAAGAAUAAUGUCAGGAGUUUUUUCACUCCCGUUGAUAGUUUUAGUAUAGUAGUUAACUGGUACAAAUUUAAUAUUCUGACCACAGAUUUGAGAUCAUAACUGAUGAUGAAAAACAUGGAAUGUUUCCAUUUGUGAAAUAAAAGAAAUAGCCUUUAAUGACUAAGCAGAGUAAUUUU